RNAcentral lists this ribosomal RNA (505 nucleotides) under uncultured bacterium. RNAcentral's name for it is "partial 16S ribosomal RNA". It matches the Rfam family "Bacterial small subunit ribosomal RNA", at positions 28 to 507 of the family's 1533-position model. The record is from RNAcentral.
GACGAACGCUGGCGGCGUGCCUAAUACAUGCAAGUAGAACGCACAGUUUAUACCGUAGCUUGCUACACCAUAAACUGUGAGUUGCGAACGGGUGAGUAACGCGUAGGUAACCUGCCUGGUAGCGGGGGAUAACUAUUGGAAACGAUAGCUAAUACCGCAUAAUAUUGAUUAUUGCAUGAUAAUUGAUUGAAAGAUGCUAUUGCAUCACUACCAGAUGGACCUGCGUUGUAUUAGCUAGUAGGUGAGGUAACGGCUCACCUAGGCGACGAUACAUAGCCGACCUGAGAGGGUGAUCGGCCACACUGGGACUGAGACACGGCCCAGACUCCUACGGGAGGCAGCAGUAGGGAAUCUUCGGCAAUGGACGACAGUCUGACCGAGCAACGCCGCGUGAGUGAAGAAGGUUUUCGGAUCGUAAAGCUCUGUUGUAAGAGAAGAACGGGUGUGAGAGUGGAAAGUUCACACUGUGACGGUAUCUUACCAGAAAGGGACGGCUAACUACGUG